GGGGGCGACCGGAUUCGACGGGGAUCAAGAGGUUUCGGGCGGCAUGCCGAGGUCCCACAGGGGCUCGUUAAACACCUGUGGAAACAAGCAACUGCCAAUUCAGAAUUGGCCCUCGCUGCUUAAUAGCGGCGCGUCCAUCUGACUGUCGUCUGUGCGGUUAGACCGGAUGUCACGAUAGCAGACUGGUUCCGCGGGCGGUCCAGGCCCGCGGGAUGAGACAAACUGGAAUAGCGGCUCUUUGGGUUUGUUGCUGUACCCGAGGAGCGGCGAAUCAAAAACAGCCACUAUGCAUGUAGUCACCUGGGGCUGAAGUUCUUCGGACGCGGGUUCAACUCCCGCCGCCUCCACCA
RNAcentral lists this transfer-messenger RNA (350 nucleotides) under Nitrospiria. RNAcentral describes it as "JACQBZ01 sp016194285 Standard tmRNA". It matches the Rfam family "transfer-messenger RNA". From Rfam's summary of the family: Bacterial tmRNA, also known as 10Sa RNA or SsrA, is named for its dual tRNA and mRNA-like properties. Its role is to liberate the mRNA from a stalled ribosome. To accomplish this part of the tmRNA is used as a reading frame that ends in a translation stop signal. RNAcentral also lists the same sequence under 1 other name. The record is from RNAcentral. Lineage: Bacteria; Pseudomonadati; Nitrospirota.